RNAcentral lists this ribosomal RNA (426 nucleotides) under uncultured bacterium. Its description in RNAcentral is "bacterial SSU rRNA". It matches the Rfam family "Bacterial small subunit ribosomal RNA", at positions 356 to 773 of the family's 1533-position model. The record is from RNAcentral.
GGGGAAUAUUGGACAAUGGGGGGAACCCUGAUCCAGCCAUGCCGCGUGUGUGAAGAAGGCCUUUUGGUUGUAAAGCACUUUAAGCGAGGAGGAGGCUCCUAUAGAUAAUACCUAUAGUGAGUGGACGUUACUCGCAGAAUAAGCACCGGCUAACUCUGUGCCAGCAGCCGCGGUAAUACAGAGGGUGCGAGCGUUAAUCGGAUUUACUGGGCGUAAAGCGUGCGUAGGUGGUCUUUUAAGUCGGAUGUGAAAUCCCUGAGCUUAACUUAGGAAUUGCAUUCGAUACUGGGAGACUAGAGUAUGGGAGAGGAUGGUAGAAUUCCAGGUGUAGCGGUGAAAUGCGUAGAGAUCUGGAGGAAUACCGAUGGCGAAGGCAGCCAUCUGGCCUAAUACUGACACUGAGGCACGAAAGCAUGGGGAGCAAAC